GGAAGGGCCAUCGCUCAACGGAUAAAAGGUACUCCGGGGAUAACAGGCUGAUACCGCCCAAGAGUUCAUAUCGACGGCGGUGUUUGGCACCUCGAUGUCGGCUCAUCACAUCCUGGGGCUGAAGUAGGUCCCAAGGGUACGGCUGUUCGCCGUUUAAAGUGGUACGCGAGCUGGGUUUAGAACGUCGUGAGACAGUUCGGUCCCUAUCUGCCGUGGGCGCUGGAGAAUUGAGGGGGGUUGCUCCUAGUACGAGAGGACCGGAGUGAACGCACCACUGGUGUUCGGGUUGUCAUGCCAAUGGCACUGCCCGGUAGCUAAGUGCGGAAAAGAUAAGUGCUGAAAGCAUCUAAGCACGAAACUUGCCCCGAGAUGAGUUCUCCCUGACCCCUUGAGGGUCCUGAAGGGACGUUGAAGACGACGACGUUGAUAGGCCGGGUGUGUAAGCGCAGCGAUGCGUUGAGCUAACCGGUACUAAUGACCCGAGAGGCUUAACCUUACAACGCCAGAGGCGUUU
Molecule: ribosomal RNA, 514 nt
Rfam family: Bacterial large subunit ribosomal RNA